UAGGUAGAAGCUAUUUUAGCGUUUGAUUGUUAAUCAAAAGAUAGCCGUAAGGUUUGCCUAG
Molecule: transfer RNA, 61 nt
Filed under: Sabella spallanzanii
Lineage: Eukaryota; Metazoa; Annelida; Polychaeta; Sabellida; Sabellidae
Description: tRNA-Asn
Source: RNAcentral